AAAAAGCAGGAGUUUGGUUUAAAUUUAAAAAUCAGCAUUAAAACCCUGAUCAACCCUGAUAAGCAUAGCCAUUGAAACAGUUUUAGUUUCAUAAAAAAGAUAUAAUAAAUGUAUAUCAGCAUCUGCAUAAAAAGUGUUCACCAUGCAGUUGCGAAAAUAUUAGACUUCAGGCAUCAUAUCCACAUUUAUAUCAAGGACAAAACAAGC
Molecule: long non-coding RNA, 207 nt
Filed under: Mytilus galloprovincialis (Mediterranean mussel)
Lineage: Eukaryota; Metazoa; Mollusca; Bivalvia; Mytilida; Mytilidae
Source: RNAcentral